Non-coding RNA from Desulfosporosinus sp. BRH_c37, 166 nucleotides. Lineage: Bacteria; Bacillati; Bacillota; Clostridia; Eubacteriales; Desulfitobacteriaceae. The record is from Rfam.
GAAAACUAACAUCUCGAAAAGUCAAAUGAUGGGGUAACGCCCUGAAAGGCUAUUGCAAGGCCUAUGAGCGUGUCUACGGAAAGAAAGCACACGAAAGUUGAAUGGGUAAGCAAACUCUAAACAUAAAUGCCCCCUGCCAUGAUUAUAACUUUCUUUCAACAGAAAU